RNAcentral lists this long non-coding RNA (535 nucleotides) under Homo sapiens (human). RNAcentral describes it as "novel transcript". Lineage: Eukaryota; Metazoa; Chordata; Mammalia; Primates; Hominidae. The record is from RNAcentral.
CCAACACACAGAGGACUAAAGCAGAGACGAUGAACCCAAGUUGAUGCUCAACCCUGCUACCUUUGGCACCCUGGUUGGAAAGCUCUGAGGGCAUGCUGCUUCUGUAUUCUCAGGCAUGCUGUAUGGGCACUGCCAGCCAGCUUCAGAGAUGGGUCCAGGUCCUUUUAGACAUGUUAGUUGAUGCCCAACCUCUAGGGACACAAUUUCUUUCUGCAGUGGAUUCAUGACCUAACCUGGGCAAAUGAGCCUUGAGAGGACAUAUGCUAGAAGCUCAUGGAAAAGAAACUUUCUUGCUUUUCUGAAAAAGCUACUGAGAGAGCCCCUUUACUCUUUCUACAGGAUCUGGAGGAGGAAGCAGGCAGGCCCUGGGUCUACUGGCAACCAUCUUGUGAUCAUGAGUUGAGACUAUAUUACCAGGAAAUGAUCCCUACAGAAGGCAGAGUGCAGAGAGGAAGAAAACAAUCUGAGGACAUUAUUGAGUGCUGUAUUAAGCGCAGCAAAUUACAUGGGCCAAUAAAUACCUUUUCUUUCUUAA